UAGGGAAUAUUGGACAAUGGACGCAAGUCUGAACCAGCCAUGCCGCGUGAAGGAUGAAGGCGUUCUGCGUUGUAAACUUCUUUUAUCUGGGAAGAAACCUACGAUUUCUAUUGUAGCCGACGGUACCAGAGGAAUAAGCGCCGGCUAACUUCCGUGC
Molecule: ribosomal RNA, 157 nt
Filed under: uncultured bacterium
Lineage: Bacteria
Description: partial 16S ribosomal RNA
Rfam family: Bacterial small subunit ribosomal RNA
Source: RNAcentral